AGUGAACGCUGGCGGUAGGCCUAACACAUGCAAGUCGAACGGCAGCACAGUAAGAGCUUGCUCUUACGGGUGGCGAGUGGCGGACGAGUGAGGAAUACAUCGGAAUCUACUUUUUCGUGGGGGAUAACGUAGGGAAACUUACGCUAAUACCGCAUACGACCUACGGGUGAAAGCAGGGGAUCUUCGGACCUUGCGCGAUUGAAUGAGCCGAUGUCGGAUUAGCUAGUUGGCGGGGUAAAGGACCACCAAGGCGACGAUCCGUAGCUGGUCUGAGAGGAUGAUCCUCCACACUGGAACUGAGACACGGUCCAGACUCCUACGGGAGGCAGCAGUGGGGAAUAUUGGACAAUGGGCGCAAGCCUGAUCCAGCCCUACCGCGUGGGUGAAGAAGGGCUUCGGGUUUUAAAACCCUUUUUUUGGGAAAGAAAAGCAGCAGGUUAAUUACCCGCCGUUCUUACGGUACCCAAAGAAUAAGCACCGGCUAACUUCGUG
Molecule: ribosomal RNA, 492 nt
Filed under: uncultured bacterium
Lineage: Bacteria
Description: partial 16S ribosomal RNA
Rfam family: Bacterial small subunit ribosomal RNA
Source: RNAcentral